UUGGGAGGGGGCUUGCUCCCGAUAGCGGCGGGUCAGUCAGCAUUUCUGAUACUGAACCACCGCUAUCGGGAGCAAGCCCCCUCCCAC
This 87-nucleotide non-coding RNA is filed under the name Pseudomonas sp. GV047. The record is from RNAcentral. Lineage: Bacteria; Pseudomonadati; Pseudomonadota; Gammaproteobacteria; Pseudomonadales; Pseudomonadaceae.